This 310-nucleotide long non-coding RNA is filed under the name Mytilus galloprovincialis (Mediterranean mussel). Lineage: Eukaryota; Metazoa; Mollusca; Bivalvia; Mytilida; Mytilidae. The record is from RNAcentral.
GUCCCAGUAAAUAUUGUGCCUGUACCAAGUUAUUAUGACUGUGUUAUCGGUAUUACGUCUCUUUGGUUGAGCAUUUAGUUUAUCGGAUGUUGGUGUUUUUUGCGGUCUGUUGUGUGUUUUUUUUUUUAUACCGAUCAUUCUUGUUAUCGUCUUUUGUAUUGGGUAAUUCAUGUGUUCUAGAAAUGUAUUUUUACACCAUUCAAAGCACACUUAUAUUGCUGGUGAGCCUUAUCUAGCGUAGACCUAUUACUACACAUUCAUGAACAAUAUAAUAUUGUUGUAUAUAUAACAAAAUCUUUAUAACAACUUC